CGUGCCAGCAGCCGCGGUAAUACAUAGGUCACAAGCGUUAUCCGGAAUUAUUGGGCGUAAAGCGUUCGUAGGCGGUUUGUUAAGUCUGGAGUUAAAGACUGGGGCUCAACCCCAGCCCGCUCUGGAUACUGGCUGACUAGAGUUACAUAGAGGUAAGUGGAAUUCUUAGUGGAGCGGUGGAAUGCGUAGAUAUUAGGAAGAACACCAAUGGCGAAGGCAGCUUACUGGAUGUACACUGACGCUCAGGGACGAAAGCGUGGGGAGCAAACAGGAUUAGAUACCCUGGUAGUCCACGCCGUAAACGAUGAUCAUUAGCCGCUAGAAUAUUUAGUGGCGCAGCUAACGCAUUAAAUGAUCCGCCUGAGUAGUAUGCUCGCAAGAGUGAAACUUAAAGGAAUUGACGGGGACCCGCACAAGCGGUGGAGCAUGUGGUUUAAUUUGAAGAUACGCGUAGAACCUUACCCACUCUUGACAUCUUCCGCAAUACUAUGGAGACAUAGUGGAGGUUAACGGAAUGACAGAUGGUGCAUGGUUGUCGUCAGCUCGUGCCGUGAGGUGUUAGGUUAAGUCCUGCGACGAGCGCAACCCCUGUCUUUAGUUACUAACGGAUAAUGCCGAGGACUCUAGAGAGACUGACUGGGUAACCAGUAGGAAGGUGGGGACGACGUCAAAUCAUCAUGCCUCUUACGAGUGGGGCAACACACGUGCUACAAUGGACGGUACAAAGAGAAGCAAUAUGGUGACAUGGAGCAAACCUCAAAAAA
RNAcentral lists this ribosomal RNA (764 nucleotides) under uncultured Mycoplasma sp. RNAcentral's name for it is "bacterial SSU rRNA". It matches the Rfam family "Bacterial small subunit ribosomal RNA", at positions 504 to 1281 of the family's 1533-position model. Lineage: Bacteria; Bacillati; Mycoplasmatota; Mollicutes; Mycoplasmatales; Mycoplasmataceae. The record is from RNAcentral.